GGUUAAGUGACUAAGCGUACAUGGUGGAUGCCUUGGCAGUCAGAGGCGAUGAAGGACGUACUAACCUGCGAUAAGCUGUGAGAAGUCGGUAAGAGACGCUAUUACUCACAGAUUUCCGAAUGGGGAAACCCACCCGAGAUAACUCGGGUAUCUGUUACUGAAUACAUAGGUAACAGAGGCGAACCGGGAGAACUGAAACAUCUAAGUACCCCGAGGAAAAGAAAUCAACCGAGAUUCCCUCAGUAGCGGCGAGCGAACGGGGAUUAGCCCUUAAGCAUCUUGGAAGUUAGUGGAACGGUCCUGGAAAGGCCGGCGAUACAGGGUGAUAGCCCCGUACACGAAAACAACCUUGAUGUGAAAUCGAGUAGGGCGGGACACGUGACAUCCUGUCUGAAUAUGGGGGGACCAUCCUCCAAGGCUAAAUACUCCUGACUGACCGAUAGUGAACCAGUACCGUGAGGGAAAGGCGAAAAGAACCCCUGUGAGGGGAGUGAAAUAGAACCUGAAACCGUGUACGUACAAGCAGUGGGAGCCCUUCGGGGUGACUGCGUACCUUUUGUAUAAUGGGUCAGCGACUUACAUUUUGUAGCGAGGUUAACCGUAUAGGGGAGCCGUAGGGAAACCGAGUCUUAACUGGGCGUCUAGUUGCAAGGUGUAGACCCGAAACCGGGUGAUCUAGCCAUGGGCAGGUUGAAGGUUGAGUAACAUCAACUGGAGGACCGAACCCACUAACGUUGCAAAGUUAGGGGAUGACCUGUGGCUGGGGGUGAAAGGCCAAUCAAACUCGGAGAUAGCUGGUUCUCCCCGAAAGCUAUUUAGGUAGCGCCUCGGACGAAUACUACUGGGGGUAGAGCACUGUUUGGGCUAGGGGGUCAUCCCGACUUACCAACCCCAUGCAAACUCCGAAUACCAGUAAGUAAUAUCCGGGAGACACACGGCGGGUGCUAACGUCCGUCGUGAAGAGGGAAACAACCCAGACCGCCGGCUAAGGUCCCAAAGUUCUGGUUAAGUGGGAAACGAUGUGGGAAGGCUCAGACAGCUAGGAUGUUGGCUUAGAAGCAGCCAUCAUUUAAAGAAAGCGUAAUAGCUCACUAGUCGAGUCGGCCUGCGCGGAAGAUGUAACGGGGCUCAAACCAGGCACCGAAGCCGCGGAUUCACACUUAUGUGUGAGUGGUAGGGGAGCGUUCUGUAAGUCUGCGAAGGUGUAUCGAGAGGUAUGCUGGAGAUAUCAGAAGUGCGAAUGCUGACGUAAGUAACGAUAAAGGGGGUGAAAAGCCUCCUCGCCGGAAGACCAAGGGUUCCUGUCCAACGUUAAUCGGGGCAGGGUGAGUCGACCCCUAAGGCGAGGCCGAAAGGCGUAGUCGAUGGGAAGCAGGUUAAUAUUCCUGCACGACUUGUAAUUGCGAUGGGGGGACGGAGAAGGCUAGGUGGGCCAGGCGACGGUUGUCCUGGUGAAAGUGCGUAGGUGGUGUUUCUAGGCAAAUCCGGAGACACAACACUGAGACACGAGACGAACACACUACGGUGUGGAAGCCAUUGAUGCCCUGCUUCCAGGAAAAGCCUCUAAGCUUCAGAUUACAAGUCAUCGUACCCCAAACCGACACAGGUGGUCGGGUAGAGAAUACCAAGGCGCUUGAGAGAACUCGGGUGAAGGAACUAGGCAAAAUAGAACCGUAACUUCGGGAGAAGGUUCGCUCUUGACAGUGAAGUCCCUUGCGGAUGGAGCAGUUGGGAGUCGCAGUGACCAGAUGGCUGGGACUGUUUAUCAAAAACACAGCACUCUGCAAACACGAAAGUGGACGUAUAGGGUGUGACACCUGCCCGGUGCCGGAAGGUUAAUUGAUGGGGUUAGCGCAAGCGAAGCUCUUGAUCGAAGCCCCGGUAAACGGCGGCCGUAACUAUAACGGUCCUAAGGUAGCGAAAUUCCUUGUCGGGUAAGUUCCGACCUGCACGAAUGGUGUAACCAUGGCCAUGCUGUCUCCACCCGAGACUCAGUGAAAUCGAAUUCGCCGUGAAGAUGCGGUGUACCCGCGGCUAGACGGAAAGACCCCGUGAACCUUUACUACAGCUUGGCACUGAACAUUGAACCUACAUGUGUAGGAUAGGUGGGAGGCUUUGAAGGCGUGACGCCAGUUGCGCUGGAGCCGUCCUUGAAAUACCACCCUUGUAUGUUUGAUGUUCUAACGCAGGGCCCUGAAUCGGGCUCGCGGACAGUGCCUGGUGGGUAGUUUGACUGGGGCGGUCUCCUCCCAAAGAGUAACGGAGGAGCACGAAGGUUGGCUAAUCCUGGUCGGACAUCAGGAGGUUAGUGCAAUGGCAUAAGCCAGCUUAACUGCGAGACGGACAGGUCGAGCAGGUACGAAAGUAGGUCAUAGUGAUCCGGUGGUUCUGAAUGGAAGGGCCAUCGCUCAACGGAUAAAAGGUACUCCGGGGAUAACAGGCUGAUACCGCCCAAGAGUUCAUAUCGACGGCGGUGUUUGGCACCUCGAUGUCGGCUCAUCACAUCCUGGGGCUGAAGUCGGUCCCAAGGGUAUGGCUGUUCGCCAUUUAAAGUGGUACGCGAGCUGGGUUCAGAACGUCGUGAGACAGUUCGGUCCCUAUCUGCCGUGGGCGUUGGAUGAUUGAAGGGAGUUGCUCCUAGUACGAGAGGACCGGAGUGAACGAACCUCUGGUGUUCGGGUUGUCACGCCAGUGGCACUGCCCGGUAGCUAAGUUCGGAAUCGAUAACCGCUGAAAGCAUCUAAGCGGGAAGCGAGCCCUGAGAUGAGUCAUCCCUGACCCCUUGAGGGUCCUAAAGGGCCGUUGGAGACCACAACGUUGAUAGG
RNAcentral lists this ribosomal RNA (2825 nucleotides) under Aeromonas veronii. Its description in RNAcentral is "partial 23S ribosomal RNA". It matches the Rfam family "Bacterial large subunit ribosomal RNA". Lineage: Bacteria; Pseudomonadati; Pseudomonadota; Gammaproteobacteria; Aeromonadales; Aeromonadaceae. The record is from RNAcentral.